Molecule: ribosomal RNA, 734 nt
Filed under: uncultured eukaryote
Lineage: Eukaryota
Description: SSU rRNA
Rfam family: Eukaryotic small subunit ribosomal RNA
Source: RNAcentral
GGCGUCAAUGCACACGCCAUCAUUUCGGCAGUCUGCGCUAUAUGUGAAAGCAUAUACGUGACUGUCAAGUUUACCUUAAAUAAAUUAAAAUGCUCAAAAUAAGCGUAUGCUUGAAUAUCAUAUUAUGGAAUAAUGAAAUAGGACUUCGGUUCUUUUUGUUGGUUAUUGAAUCGGAGUAAUGAUUAAUAGGGGAUAAUCUCGGGGGGCAUUUCGUAUUUCUGCGGGAGAGGUGAAAAUUCUAUGAUCGCAGAAGGGACGCCCCUAAAGCGAAAAGCAUUUGCCAAAGAAUGUCUUCGUUAAUCAAGAACGAAAGUCAGAGGAUCGAAGGCGAUUAGAUACCGCCCUAGUUCUGACCGUAAACGAUACUAUCUAGCGAUCCGAUAGGGUCCUAUCUAGCCUUGUCGGGGAGCUUCCCGGAAACGAAAGUCUUUCGGUUCCGGGGGUAGUAUGGUUGCAAAGCUGAAACUUAAAGAAAUUGACGGAAGGGCACCCCCAGGAGUGGAGCUUGCGGCUUAAUUUGACUCAACACGGGAAAACUCACCCGGUCCGGACACCGUAAGGAUUGACAGACUGAUAGCUCUUUCUUGAUUCGGUGGUUGGUGGUGCAUGGCCGUUCUUAGUUGGUGGAGUAAUUUGUCUGGUUUAUUCCGAUAACGAGCGAGACUCUAGCCUGCUAAAUAGAACGAGGAUAAACCUUUUCAUAGGUCCUCGAUGCUUCUUAGAGGAAUUAGCGG